UACGUAGGGUGCGAGCGUUAAUCGGAAUUACUGGGCGUAAAGCGUGCGCAGGCGGUUUGUUAAGACAGGUGUGAAAUCCCCGGGCUCAACCUGGGAAUGGCGCUUGUUACUGGCAGGCUAGAGUGUGUCAGAGGGAGGUAGAAUUCCACGUGUAGCAGUGAAAUGCGUAGAGAUGUGGAGGAAUACCGAUGGCGAAGGCAGCCUCCUGGGAUAACACUGACGCUCAUGCACGAAAGCGUGGGGAGCAAACAGG
Molecule: ribosomal RNA, 253 nt
Filed under: uncultured bacterium
Lineage: Bacteria
Description: partial 16S ribosomal RNA
Rfam family: Bacterial small subunit ribosomal RNA
Source: RNAcentral